This 494-nucleotide ribosomal RNA is filed under the name uncultured Mucilaginibacter sp. RNAcentral describes it as "partial 16S ribosomal RNA". The record is from RNAcentral. Lineage: Bacteria; Pseudomonadati; Bacteroidota; Sphingobacteriia; Sphingobacteriales; Sphingobacteriaceae.
CACGGAGUUAGCCGAUCCUUAUUCUUACCGUACAUUCAGCCUGAUAUACAUAUCAGGGUUUAUUCCGGUACAAAAGCAGUUUACAACCCGUAGGGCCGUCUUCCUGCACGCGGCAUGGCUGGUCCAGGCUUGCGCCCAUUGACCAAUAUUCCUUACUGCUGCCUCCCGUAGGAGUCUGGUCCGUGUCUCAGUACCAGUGUGGGGGGUCAUCCUCUCAGAUCCCCUAAACAUCGUAGCCUUGGUAAGCCAUUACCUUACCAACUAGCUAAUGUUCCGCAUGCCCAUCUUGAUCCUAUAAAUAUUUGAUUACCGAAAAAUGCUGUUCAGUAAUGUUAUGCGGUGUUAAUCUCUCUUUCGAGAGGCUAUCCCCCAGAUCAAGGUAGGUUACAUACGUGUUACGCACCCGUGCGCCACUCUCAUCAGGAGCAAGCUCCCAAAUCCCGUUCGACUUGCAUGUAUUAGGCCUGCCGCUAGCGUUCAUCCUGAGCCAGGAU